GUGGACGCCAGUCUGCGUGGAGCCGACCUUGAAAUACCACCCUUUAAUGUUUGAUGUUCUAACGUGGACCCGUGAUCCGGGUUGCGGACAGUGUCUGGUGGGUAGUUUGACUGGGGCGGUCUCCUCCUAAAGAGUAACGGAGGAGCACGAAGGUUGGCUAAUCCUGGUCGGACAUCAGGAGGUUAGUGCAAUGGCAUAAGCCAGCUUGACUGCGAGCGUGACGGCGCGAGCAGGUGCGAAAGCAGGUCAUAGUGAUCCGGUGGUUCUGAAUGGAAGGGCCAUCGCUCAACGGAUAAAAGGUACUCCGGGGAUAACAGGCUGAUACCGCCCAAGAGUUCAUAUCGACGGCGGUGUUUGGCACCUCGAUGUCGGCUCAUCACAUCCUGGGGCUGAAGUAGGUCCCAAGGGUAUGGCUGUUCGCCAUUUAAAGUGGUACGCGAGCUGGGUUUAGAACGUCGUGAGACAGUUCGGUCCCUAUCUGCCGUGGGCGCUGGAGAACUGAGGGGGGCUGCUCCUAGUACGAGAGGACCGGAGUGGACGCAUCACUGGUGUUCGGGUUGUCAUGCCAAUGGCACUGCCCGGUAGCUAAAUGCGGAAGAGAUAAGUGCUGAAAGCAUCUAAGCACGAAACUUGCCCCGA
RNAcentral lists this ribosomal RNA (639 nucleotides) under Salmonella enterica subsp. enterica serovar Infantis. RNAcentral's name for it is "partial 23S ribosomal RNA". It matches the Rfam family "Bacterial large subunit ribosomal RNA", at positions 2164 to 2802 of the family's 2925-position model. Lineage: Bacteria; Pseudomonadati; Pseudomonadota; Gammaproteobacteria; Enterobacterales; Enterobacteriaceae. The record is from RNAcentral. RNAcentral also lists the same sequence under 28 other names.